RNAcentral lists this ribosomal RNA (460 nucleotides) under uncultured bacterium. RNAcentral's name for it is "partial 16S ribosomal RNA". It matches the Rfam family "Bacterial small subunit ribosomal RNA", at positions 338 to 795 of the family's 1533-position model. The record is from RNAcentral.
CCUACGGGAGGCAGCAGUGAGGAAUAUUGGUCAAUGGGCGCAAGCCUGAACCAGCCAAGUCGCGUGAGGGAUGACGGUCCUAUGGAUUGUAAACCUCUUUUGUCGGGGAGCAAGGCCCGCCACGUGUGGCGGGAAGGAGAGUACCCGAAGAAAAAGCAUCGGCUAACUCCGUGCCAGCAGCCGCGGUAAUACGGAGGAUGCGAGCGUUAGCCGGAUUUAUUGGGUUUAAAGGGUGCGUAGGCGGAAGGUUAAGUCAGCGGUAAAAUGUCGGUGCUCAACACCGGCCUGCCGUUGAAACUGGUCUUCUUGAGUGAGCGAGAAGUAUGCGGAAUGCGUGGUGUAGCGGUGAAAUGCAUAGAUAUCACGCAGAACUCCGAUUGCGAAGGCAGCAUACCGGCGCUCAACUGACGCUGAGGCACGAAAGCGUGGGGAUCGAACAGGAUUAGAUAUCCUUGUAGUC